GACGAACGCUGGCGGCGCGCUUAACACAUGCAAGUCGAGCGAUGAAACUUUAACAGAACCCUUCGGGGCGAAGAUAAAGUGGAUUAGCGGCGGACGGGUGAGUAACACGUGAGUAACCUGCCUUAUACAUUGGGAUAGCCUCGGGAAACCGGGAUUAAUACCAAAUAAAAUCAUAAUGACACAUGUCAUAACGAUCAAAACUCCGGUGGUCUAAGAUGGACUCGCGUCCCAUUAGCUGGUUGGUAGAGUAAAAGCCUACCAAGGCGACGAUGGGUAGCCGGGCGGGGAGGGUGACCGGCCGCAUUGGAGCUGAGGAACGGUCCAAACUCCUACGGAAGGCAGCAGUGGGGAAUAUUGCACAAUGGAGGGAACUCUGAUGCAGCGGCGCCGGGGGAACGAAGAAGGCGUUCGAGUCGUAAAGUUCUUUUAUAUGGGAAGAUAAUGACGGUACCAUAAGAAAAAGCCCCGGCUAACUACGUG
This 480-nucleotide ribosomal RNA is filed under the name uncultured bacterium. RNAcentral describes it as "partial 16S ribosomal RNA". It matches the Rfam family "Bacterial small subunit ribosomal RNA", at positions 28 to 507 of the family's 1533-position model. The record is from RNAcentral.